Molecule: ribosomal RNA, 460 nt
Filed under: uncultured bacterium
Lineage: Bacteria
Description: partial 16S ribosomal RNA
Rfam family: Bacterial small subunit ribosomal RNA
Source: RNAcentral
CCUACGGGUGGCAGCAGUGAGGAAUAUUGGUCAAUGGACGAGAGUCUGAACCAGCCAAGUAGCGUGAAGGAUGACUGCCCUAUGGGUUGUAAACUUCUUUUAUAUGGGAAUAAAACGUUCCACGUGUGGGAUUUUGUAUGUACCAUAUGAUUAAGGAUCGGCUAACUCCGGGCCAGCAGCCGCGGUAAUACGGAGGAUCCGAGCUUUAUCCGGAUUUAUUGGGUUUAAAGGGAGCGUAGGUGGAUUGUUAAGUCAGUUGUGAAAGUUUGCGGCUCAACCGUAAAAUUGCAGUUGAAACUGGCAGUCUUGAGUACAGUAGAGGUGGGCGGAAUUCGUGGUGUAGCGGUGAAAUGCUUAGAUAUCACGAAGAACUCCGAUUGCGAAGGCAGUUCACUGGACUGCAACUGACACUGAGGCUCGAAAGUGUGGGUAUCAAACAGGAUUAGAUACCCCAGUAGUC